AAUUCAUAAGUGUUUGACACUUAAACUUUUGAAGUUUAAUUAUAGUUCAUAAUAAGCUA
RNAcentral lists this transfer RNA (59 nucleotides) under Epiperipatus biolleyi. RNAcentral's name for it is "tRNA-Gln". Lineage: Eukaryota; Metazoa; Onychophora; Udeonychophora; Euonychophora; Peripatidae. The record is from RNAcentral.